ACACGACUACAUUAGAUACCCGGUAGUCCAGGGUGUAAACGCUGCGGGCUUGGUGUUGGGGGUCCUUUGAGGGCGCCCAGUGCCGGAGAGAAGUUGUUAAGCCUGCUGCUUGGGGAGUACGUCCGCAAGGAUGAAACUUAAAGGAAUUGGCGGGGGAGCACCGCAACGGGAGGAGCGUGCGGUUCAAUUGGAUUCAACGCCGGACAACUCACCAGGAGCGACGGUUACAUGAAGGCCAGGCUGAUGACCUUGCCUGAUUUUCCG
This 264-nucleotide ribosomal RNA is filed under the name uncultured archaeon. Its description in RNAcentral is "partial 16S ribosomal RNA". It matches the Rfam family "Archaeal small subunit ribosomal RNA", at positions 717 to 982 of the family's 1478-position model. The record is from RNAcentral.